This 521-nucleotide ribosomal RNA is filed under the name uncultured bacterium. Its description in RNAcentral is "bacterial SSU rRNA". It matches the Rfam family "Bacterial small subunit ribosomal RNA", at positions 8 to 518 of the family's 1533-position model. The record is from RNAcentral.
AGAGUUUGAUUAUGGCUCAGGAUGAACGCUGGCGGCGUGCUUAACACAUGCAAGUCGAACGAAGCAGCUUUCUUGCUUGCAAGAAAGCUGACUUAGUGGCGGACGGGUGAGUAACGCGUGGGUAACCUGCCUCAUACAGGGGGAUAACAGUUGGAAACGACUGCUAAGACCGCAUAACCCGCUAGUGUCGCAUGACACGGACGGAAAAAUAUUUAAUUUUAACGAGUUAAAAUUUGGUAUGAGAUGGGCCCGCGUCUGAUUAGCUAGUUGGUAAGGUAACGGCUUACCAAGGCGACGAUCAGUAGCCGACUUGAGAGAGUGAUCGGCCACAUUGGGACUGAGACACGGCCCAAACUCCUACGGGAGGCAGCAGUGGGGAAUAUUGGACAAUGGGGGAAACCCUGAUCCAGCGAACCGCCGCGUGAGUGAAGAAGUAUUUCGGUAUGUAAAGCUCUAUCAGCAGGGAAGAUAAUGACAGUACCUGACUAAGAAGCCCCGGCUAACUACGUGCCAGCCGCAGC